Macadamia integrifolia is the source of this 3031-nucleotide long non-coding RNA. RefSeq lists it as uncharacterized. The record is from RefSeq and is a predicted model, not a curated record. NCBI's taxonomy places the organism in Eukaryota, Viridiplantae, Streptophyta, Magnoliopsida, Proteales, Proteaceae. The transcript is spliced from 2 exons.
UGGAAUAUUCCUUUCCAUAUUCGCCUGCUCUUCAAAUGGGAUAACGAUUUGGAUAUUGGGAGAAAUGGAAUUCCCACUAGACCUCCUUAAAAUAUGCGAUGGAGAUAAGGAAGGAAAUCCAUUCCUCAUAUGGGAAGUAAUCCUGGCCGUGGACACGUCAUUCACCAGAAUCCUCUCCUCCUGUUGGCCAGCAGGCCAAGCACUACCAUCGUCCUUAGCAAAGACUGCCCCUGGGAUGGAGGCUUCACGCUGCCUCUCCUCCCUUCCUUCUGCUUCCUUCCUUGCUCUGCAUACAUGGACAGAAUGCCCCACCUUUUUGCAGACCCGCACCUGGACAAUCCAUCCUCAUAAACAAUAGUCUGUUUGAACCAGAAUAUCUCCCCCGUUCCAAGUUGCCUCCUCUCUACUUGAAUUUCUUCUAUUCUGCUUGCACCAAGUUCCAUUUCUACUUGGACUCUUGUAAAGGUUCCCAUAGUAGCAGUGCGAGUGCACCUAUCCAACGCCACAGGUCUCCCUGUCGCCUUGGCCAUGGUCAACAAAAAUUUUUCAUGCCAAUAUUUCAGAGGCAAGUCUGGGAAUCUGAUCCAAACCAGCUUGGUCGUGGCAUUCUUAGCAUGAACAUCAAAAUCAGGCUUCCAUCAUUGGAACCUGAUUACUUGACCUCGAACUCUUGUAAGGCUUCAUCUGCACAUUGCAGUCAUGUCUCCCUCCCUUUCAAAUUGGAAAAAGAAUAUACCCAUUCCCCAUGGGCGCUAUCUUAACAUCGCCUUUAAGAUUCUAGGAUUUGCUAGCCGAUAGGUACCUGAAAUUUACCCUACCUAUCAAGGCAAAUCUGAACAGCAAGUCUUUCCUCAUAAGCGUCUUAAGGAACUACAAUUUUGGUGUAAGCUCUAGCAUGAAUUGGAUCAGGUAGGUUUUCCAUGUCCAGCAAAACCUUCCCCACCACAACAGAAUAUGAUCACCUCCCCUUCUCUCUAUUUGUGUAUUCCGGUUGCCCUGCCUCCUCCCUGCCUUGAUUACCAUCGACCUCCUCCACAGGUUCAUAAGAUGCAAUACCAGGGAUCGAAACCCCUCCUUCCUCCCUAAUGUUGUAGGUCUCAAAUAAUCCGUAAUCAAGGGUUGUCUUCCAAUAUCGGGAGGCCAACCAUCCUUCAGUUCUUGCCCGGUUCCAGGAUUCUCAAUCGCUUCACCAACCAUCAGUGUGGUACCCUACUUUAUAAACCAGCCUAAUUACCCGAUUGGUUCGAUUUGCUCUUGCAGGACAAGAAUCCGAGCGAGCUGAGUCGAGUACCUUAUGGAAUAUGAUGGCAAGGGUGACUCUAAAAUCGAGUUGGCUAGACGAGUUGGAGUCGGUGCCUAGUGAAGUUCGUGUGCCCAAGCCAUGCACAUGCACGUAUCACUGGGCUAUGUAAGCGCAAUAAAGGUGGGUGAGAAAAGUAAAGAAGAGAGAGAAACGAAGGAGAGAGAAGGGAAGAAGAAGGAAGAAAUGGAGAAGAAGAUGAUCGUUGUGCUUUGGCGGGGUCAGAUCUUUUGAAUCCGACAUCAAAAGCAUGAUCUUCGUCUUGGGAUCUACAAUUUGAGGUGAGUAAAAGCUAUAUUUCUCAAACCCCAAGAAACCCUAAGUGAAAUCCUAUGAUUUGAGUAGGAAUCUUUUGGAUCUUGUCAAUCCCGCUUGAGAUGAUGAAUCUAAGGUCUAAUAAAGGACCUAGAUGUUGUUUAUGAAGGUUUUAGAGGAAGAAAUUGCAAGAUUUGAGAAUCAUUUGUUGAUCUUUUGAGCUAGAUAGGAGAUUUAAGGGUUUUGAAGUGUUCUUGAGCAAAGAGGUAAAACUCAAGCUUAGAACUUUGAAUUGAUCCUAGAUCUAUAUUGGAAUCAUGAUAUGGGACCUUAGAUUUAUGAAAAAUGUGGUCGAAUCGACCCGUGGUGGUUUCCCCAAGGUGGGGUGAAGAAUGAGAGUGAACAAUAAAAUCUUGGUUUUGAGUGGAAGGUGCCUGAAAAUGGUCGAACCCACCAAUCCGGAGCCCGCCUGUCCUAGAUGGGAUGCUGCCUCAAUCGGCAAGCAAGACUAGUGGACACUUGGCCCAUUGGUCUAGGCAGUGCCCCCUGGGUAGAGCGGCGACCAAGGACCCAUGGGCACCUAGCUUGUCGGUCCUUACAGGGCCACUAAGUCCAGCGGCGGGCAAGGAUCGGUGGGUAUCUCGCUCACCAGUUGACCUACCACUCCGACACAUCGGGUUUCGUUGGGCCCAAAUUUGUCGGGCAACCUUCUAUAAUGAUUCGAAACGCGUUUGGAUCAUCAUACUCCGUUGGUUUUAAACCUAAAGUGAGAUAUACUAAACUCAACAUUUUUAUGAUAUGUUUAUUAGAAACUCACGUCAUCAUAUGUCGAAUCUUUCUCUCACCAAGGGUGAUCAUUGUACACAAUUAUGCAAGUAGGAAGAGUACAUUGACUUUAUUUUUGGAGUGUUUUUGUAUCAUUCCAUUAUUGUUGUAAACUAGCCAUGUCAUCAAUUCAUUAUUGUGCGUAGCAUAGUCAUCACAAAUGCCAUUUGCAUGCAUUGAUGUGUGCAUUAUGAAAUUCAUUUAUGACUUGAUAUGCUGAUAUCUUUAGUUGUUAAAUGUUUAUUCUUGCUUUGAAAUAUGAGAUGGAUGAAUUUUAAUUAUUGAAUAUGAUUCAUUACUAGACUAUAUGCAGUCAGCUUGAAAACGAAUGCAUUGGUGGCCCGUGGAAUGAGACGCGGUGACACAAUACAGUCGUACUAUCUCAUAUAGGAGCAUGCGGUUAGGAAUGACAUAUCCUUGUGCUAUGACCCUUCCCAGCAGGGGUUUAGGUAUUGGGUAUAUCACUGGGGGGAAGCCCGAGGUUGUGUGCCAACGGUGGCAGUUAGAAGUACACUAGGACGGUCGGUAAUUUUGGUGAUAUAACAAGAGGGUCAAUUGUACUGCUUUUAAUUUAAUGUAGGGCAAGGCCUAUAUUACUUUAAUAUAGGACAAGGCCAUUUUAUUUUCUGGUACCCACAGCUGGCCUUCUCC